AUGAAAAAUGCAUCAAAAUGCAAACCAGAGAUGAGAAAGUGUGAAGAGAUUUGGGGAGUCGUGAAAAAGACGGGCCGACAGGAAGAGACUAUGAAGUUCGGAGAUGAGAGCACCUGCAUUUUAGCUGAGAAAAGAGGAGACAGAAAGUGGAGAUUUCCGUGUUUGGACCGGCCCUGCAGGAGCGAAGCUGGCUGCGGCCUCUCAGUCAUAAUCAGAGGAAGGAAAGGCCUGGGCCAUCUGAAGGCUGUGACUGCGGCCGAGCCAGUGGCUGGGGUCGUGGCCUGGGACGCGGCGACAGCUCAAGAAAAUGCUCAAACACAUCAGCUGCAUCGACUGCGCCAGGGCGCAGAGACUGCUGUGAUCCAACCUGGGGACAAAGCCUCACUACCCACCAGGUGCCCCGUGUCCUUCCCCAAGCAGCUCCGUUGCCUGGCGGCGAGAGGAGGGUGCAGCUGGGGUGAAGGAGAGAUCUCCGCGGGGGGCGGUCUGCGCUGUGGUGGCUCAAGCCAGCAAAAGGUAGAAGAAGGCUCGAAAUUUUGA
Molecule: long non-coding RNA, 540 nt
Filed under: Canis lupus familiaris (dog)
Lineage: Eukaryota; Metazoa; Chordata; Mammalia; Carnivora; Canidae
Description: lncRNA (ENSCAFG00040020917.1)
Source: RNAcentral